RNAcentral lists this unclassified non-coding RNA (499 nucleotides) under uncultured Glomus. Its description in RNAcentral is "SSU rRNA". It matches the Rfam family "Eukaryotic small subunit ribosomal RNA", at positions 569 to 1076 of the family's 1831-position model. Lineage: Eukaryota; Fungi; Glomeromycota; Glomeromycetes; Glomerales; Glomeraceae. The record is from RNAcentral.
AGCAGCCGCGGUAAUUCCAGCUCCAAUAGCGUAUAUUAAAGUUGUUGCAGUUAAAAGCUCGUAGUUGAAUUUCGGGAUCAAUAUGUUGGUCGUGCCUUGGUACGUACUGGCAUUAUCGAUUCCUACCUUCUGAAGAACCUCGAUGUCAUUAAUUUGGUGUCUUGGGGAAUCAGGACUGUUACUUUGAAAAAUUGAGUGUUUAAAGCAGGCUCGCGCUUGAAUACAUUAGCAUGGAAUAAUGAAAUAGGACGUUUGAUUCUAUUUUGUUGGUUUCUAGGAUCGACGUAAUGAUUAAUAGGGAUAGUUGGGGGCAUUAGUAUUCAAUUGUCAGAGGUGAAAUUCUUGGAUUUAUUGAAGACUAACUACUGCGAAAGCAUUUGCCAAGGAUGUUUUCAUUAAUCAAGAACGAAAGUUAGGGAUCGAAGACGAUCAGAUACCGUCGUAGUCUUAACCAUAAACUAUGCCGACUAUGGAUCGGAUGAUGUUAAUUUUUAUGACU